This is a non-coding RNA of Prunus mume (Japanese apricot), 1035 nucleotides long. Lineage: Eukaryota; Viridiplantae; Streptophyta; Magnoliopsida; Rosales; Rosaceae. The record is from RefSeq and is a predicted model, not a curated record.
GAGUUUAGAGAGAAUUGUUCUGCGCCCACAUCAACAAACUCGUUUCUCACGGCGGUGUUUGUUGACAGAAACUCAUUCUCUUUCUUUCUGCGCCCAGCCAGACCCAACCCGGCCAUCAACGACGACGUCGGUCUAUUUUUUUCUCUUUGCCUUUGUGUCUGUCUAGUCUAGGGUUUCAAACAAAAAACCAACCACCACAACACGAGCCACCCAUGAUGAAUAAUAGCAACGUCAACGGCGCUGCAAAGCAGCGAGACAAAUAUAUCGUUGUAUUUGACAAAGACGAUGAAGACAUCACUAUGAUACCAGAAGAAAAAUUCUUGUCCUUCCGUAGGCCCUUCGGUAGAUCCGAUGCAACAUAUGUGCAAGAUCUUGGCCCGCGUUCGAAUCCGCUUUAAAAGUGUAUGGCAUUGCAUGUGCACUGAAUCUGGAUCAGUAUUUCACCACAUUGUCAACAACCCCGACUUCGGUCAGAAAUGGUGUUUACAAGAUAAGACAUCUUCAUUUACUUCUGUCAGUCAGAGUUCCUAUUCAUCAGGCACUAAGGAUACUGAAAGGUCCAUAUGACAUCAUCCGCACAGGGCAUCAUGUUAAUGGGAUUUGCACAAAAUACAGGAUCACAAGGGAUAUAUAUCAUAAUCGGAAGAAACGUCUCAUGAAUAUCCCCGUAAAGGAACUUGAAGAACUGAUAGACUCUGAAAUUUAUAUGCGCCCAAAGUUUUCAAUGGAAUAUAAUGACCUAGUUGUCGCCAUAGGGGGUUCAGAUCGAGAAUUGAAGCUAGUGAGGCAGAUUGUGUCCGCCUGCAUUGUACGCACAGUGCCUCAUAGUGUCAAGGGAUUGAGAGAUUAUCUUAAGAUGUUCGUGGGUAUUAAAAAGCUGAGUUUAUGAUGAAUAAUGUGUUACAUUAUCCAGUAGCUAUAUUUUCUUCAAUUAUUGUAAAGACAGUGAGUUAACUUAUGAGUGCUGAUGUCAUACGGUCACACUUCUCUCACUUUGGUGGGUUGUUGUAUCAAAACCAUUUUCCUUUCCUUUUG